GAUGAAGAACGCAGCGAAAUGCGAUAAGUAAUGUGAAUUGCAGAAUUCAGUGAAUCAUCGAAUCUUUGAACGCACAUUGCGCCCAUUAGUAUUCUAGUGGGCAUGACUGUUCGAGCGUCAUUAAGUCCACUUAAGCCCUGCUUAGUGUUGGGAGACUGCUCCAGCGGUGCUACCCUGUAGCUACCCUGCAGCUCCUCAAAGACAGCGGCGGAGUUGUGGUAUCCUCUGAGCUUAGUAACUUGUUCUAGCUUUCGAGUACACCACUUCCCCUGCCGUAAAACCCUUAAUUUUUAAUGGUUGACCUCGGAUCAGGUAGGAAUACCCGCUGAACUUAAGCAUAUCAAUAAGCGGAGGA
Molecule: unclassified non-coding RNA, 355 nt
Filed under: soil metagenome
Description: partial contains 5.8S ribosomal RNA, internal transcribed spacer 2, and large subunit ribosomal RNA
Rfam family: 5.8S ribosomal RNA (bases 1-120)
Source: RNAcentral